UACGUAGGGUGCGAGCGUUGUCCGGAAUUACUGGGCGUAAAGCGCGUGUAGGCUGCUCUGCAAGUCGGGUGUGAAAGCCCUGGGCUCAACCUAGGAAGUGCACUCGAAACUGCAGAGCUGGAGUCCUGGAGAGGAAGGCGGAAUUCUCGGUGUAGAGGUGAAAUUCGUAGAUAUCGAGAGGAACACCGGUGGCGAAGGCGGCCUUCUGGACAGUGACUGACGCUGAGACGCGAAAGCGUGAGGAGCAAACAGG
This 253-nucleotide ribosomal RNA is filed under the name uncultured bacterium. RNAcentral describes it as "partial 16S ribosomal RNA". It matches the Rfam family "Bacterial small subunit ribosomal RNA", at positions 524 to 776 of the family's 1533-position model. The record is from RNAcentral.